GUAGGUGAACCUGCGGAAGGAUCAUUAAAAGGUUUAUCUGGGGGUGGGUAACACCCUCCCGGAAAACUCCACCCUUGUAUAUUAUUACUUGUUGCUUUGGUGGGCCGCGAGAUUGCCUAGCGAUUGAGCACCGGCUUCGGCUGGAGAGCGCCUGCCAGAGGACCAAACUCUGUCAUUUAUGUCGUCUGAUUACUAUUUAAUAGUUAAAACUUUCAACAACGGAUCUCUUGGUUCUG
Molecule: unclassified non-coding RNA, 236 nt
Filed under: rhizosphere metagenome
Description: partial ribosomal RNA internal transcribed spacer region
Source: RNAcentral